Non-coding RNA from Taeniopygia guttata (zebra finch), 17965 nucleotides. NCBI's taxonomy places the organism in Eukaryota, Metazoa, Chordata, Aves, Passeriformes, Estrildidae. The record is from RefSeq and is a predicted model, not a curated record.
AAUUUAAAAAAUUAAAUUUUUUUUAAAAGGGAAAAAAAAAAAAACAAACCCUACAGAUUUCUAGCUCUUUCUGUUGCAAGGAAAAGUUGGAAAAUGAGACUUCAUAAAGACCUGAACAUUUUAGAAACCCCUGAAACAAAUACUAUUAUUUGGAGAUAUUUCAUUUAAAAAUUAAUCUGGGAAAUCUGAUUCCUUGUUUGUUAAUCCGCAAGAAUGGUAAUGAUGAGAUAUACACAGAGGGUCCCUAAGCCAGGUCAAUGGGACACCGGGAGAGAUGCAGAAGGUAUUUUGGUCCUUUCUCUGCAAGAAUAUCUCUUGUAAGUCAGUAAAAAUUGCCAGUGGGAAGACAGUUGCUGUGACUUGCCUUCUUUAUGUUUUAUUUUCCUUUCAGAGCAGCAAAAAAGUAUGCAUGGUAGGCCUGUGUGAGCUGCAGAGCUUGCAUCAUUUGUGUAAGCAGUGUAGCCCUAGCUGGAGACUAGCUGGAACACAGCUAACACACCAGGAGAGGGCUGCAAAGGGACAUAAGUCACGAUCAAUUUAUUGCCAACCAGCAGAACUACAAACACACCAAACUCAAAGACAAGAAACUCUUGGUCUCUUGGAUACCAGAUGCCAGGGUAACAAGAAGAGUGAAAUGGAAAUUCCCAUGGAUAAGGGGAAAUGUGAUUUAAUUGGCAACACUAAAAUUAAAAAAGAAUAAUUCUUAUGAUUGGACUGGUAAAAUCAUUGGGAUAGCUCUGAGGAAUAAAAGGUGUCAGUGGGUGAUCUGGUGUGCUACGUGAAAGAGAAAGCAUUUCUUGUGGAGUAAAUGAGGACACUGAGCAGCAGGUUCUGUACAUAUUGUUUUAUGAAUCUAUGUGUUAAGGAAGGUCUACACAGUCUAGUAACAGAGUGUGUGACAGACCAUUAAAACAGUCUGGUUAAGAGGAUGAGUCCAUCCCCCAUAAUGAGAAAAAUGGAGGAGCUCCUCAUAAUGGAGGAGCUUUGGUUGGACAGAGGAGUUUUAGUUGGAUGGGAGACCACAAGCAGCCAAUGGCAAACAUGAUUAGAGAAGUUUACAGGUACAGAGGAUAAUCGCCCAGCAGAAACUCCAGCAGAGAAUUUACACAAGUGGGGCUUGUUUGAGCUGAAUUGAUGGACUAAAGGGAUGAACUGAUGCCUGUGGUAAGAGCUGUUGCCUAUUACUAGUUGUCAAACUGAGUUAAGACUACUUCGGGCACCACUGUCUCUUUGUUAGAAGUACCUCCAGAUGAAUUCUGAAAUUAUUAAAGAUCACCACUUGGUUUCAACAGUAAUCAAGAGUACAAAUCAAGUUUUUGAUUAAAUCAAAGCAUUUGUUUAUUUUGUUUUAUCUUAACUAACUUUGUCAAAAUAUGGCUGCCCUUCUGGAACAGUCUUUAAAGGAGAACCACCUGAGCCUGUACUAUGUGUCCCAUCAUCAGUUGCACCUUUGUUAAAUCUUUUCAGUAUCACCUGGAGCAUGCAGGCAGUGUGCAUGACCCUGCAGAAAACACUGGAAGACAGAAAUAAAGCAAUAUCCAUUUUUAAAGUGUGGCUACUUGUAAUCAAACCAGAGAGGAAAAAUAUGAGGCAGAGCGCAAAACUCUCAGCAUCAGAUAACACCUAGGGAUCUAGAGGUGCUCCUGGGAGAAAUACCUGGAUCUGACAAACCUGUGACACAUCCCAAAAUCCAUAUGUGCUGUUGAUGCCAAUGUAAGAUGAACAGGGCUUGAAUCUCACCACAUUGACCCUAUAUGCUCCUUUCUGAUACCAGCAGAGAGAGACAGCUGGGACAUGGUUCUGAGCCAUAAUACAAGGAGAAUGUUUUCCAGUCCUGUCAAAGGAUAACCUGAAUCUGUUGCAGUAAAGAGGCUCUUUUACUAAUCUGGAAAGCCCAUAGCACUGUAUCAUACAAUUCACAUACAAUCACUAAAGCCAUAUUCUGUUGGGGUGGUCUCAUAGGUCUCCCAGUCUUGGUUUAUGCAGAGCUAAAAGCUUGAUCCUUAAGCAGCAUUUUAAAGAGAUAAUUACAUGUACUUUUUUUUUCUUUCUGGGUAUAUAUAGUUCUAAAAUAGAUGGGCAUUGCAUUCCUUUUUUUCUUCUUCGGUACAGAUUGCAAAAGAAAAUGGCUAUGCAAACUGUGGAAGUCAUAAACCAGCUUAUCGUAAGCCAUUUGGGAUUGUAUUUUGCCAACUUGUAUUCUUCAGUACCACCUCCAGGCAGAAAUUUGAGAAGAAAGAUUUGUGUUGGGUUUAUUUUGUCACAAGGUAGAUAUGGAUUUUUUUAAACUUACCUAUCUUUUUUCCAUAAUACCCUUCCCUUUAAUGUGCCCAAACUGGAGUUGCCCCAUAAAACAGACGUAUGAAAGUUAAAAGCCAUCAGUAACAGGAAGAGACAGUGAAAAAGAAUUAUCUGCCAGUUACAGGGUUCUGGGGAAUGCUGGAGAAUUUACACAGAAAUUCAGUCAUUAACUCCUUCCUCUGCCAUAAGUGAAUUUGAUGAAGCUCCAAGAAGUAUGUCAAGGUCACGUUUACCCAAUUCUAAUGAAGCAAAGCAAAAGUCACAAUUUGUUAGCUAUCCACUGGGAAUAAAAGUGUAAUUUUUUUUAACAGCUAAGUAAUUAAAAAGGCAAAUGUGUUCCAUAUUGCAAAAGUAUUGCUAUAUUAUAUAAGGGAAUGGUUCAUGACCAUGUUACACUGUUAAUAUGAUCAAAAAUUAUCUGGUCUCCUAAAUUACUAUAUUUCCCUUAGCAGAAUUUUAAUUUCAGGUUGGUAAUUUUAAUUGCACUACUAUCUGACUGCUUAAAAUUUCAUUUCAUGUCUUUUUAAAGUUACUCCUCUUUGAAUUUGUUUUCCUCCUACUCAGGGUUCUGUUUAUUUUAAUUCAGAGUUACUUAUGCCAGAUUGUAUACUGACUCCCCAUGAUUUUUUAAAACAAGCAAUUUUUUAAAACAAGCAAUUUUUUUCAAACACACCAUACUGUGGAAAGAAUCAUUAUAAAUAACAGAAAGAAUUUAAAAUCCAGUCUCCCUUGAAUGGAGGAUCUCUCUGAGAUGCAGCAUUAUCUAAUAGUUUCAAGACACUACAUGUUUUUGCUUAAUUCUGUCACCCUUCUCCACGCUGAUUAAAAAUGUCUUUUGUAAGUAGUGUCACUGAAAUCAGUGCAAGAGGAAAAUAAUCAUUUUUCCUAAUCAUCUGUUUUCCUUAAUGGUGGAACCAUAACAUGGCUACUUUAUCCACUGUGGAAAUACAGUAGGCUACAAUAAUUAUUUAACUUCUCCUUUUCUAUUAGUUUUGCUACAAAACUUACAAAAUAGUUUUACUGCUUUCCCACUAAAGAUAAUAUUUGCAUUGUACUUUUUUUCUUUACCAAAUGUUUGUUUCCUUGAUAACUAAAAACUUUACCACAAACUCCAAAGAAGGACCAGAGAAGCAACUAAGUAGUUAACAAAGAUGAUUAAGCCAGGAGCACUUACCAUCAGCAGCCAUACAAUGGUACCUAAGAUACCACAGUUUUUCUUAAUCAAAUGUAGGUUUUGCGCAGGUAAAAAUGCAGGGAAGGCAGGUGACAAAGAGGAAGAACUGACAGAGAACUGUAAGUAGUGCUAAAGGGGGGAAAUUUGGUACCAAUUUUUCUAAGACAAAAUGUUUCCUGAAUUCCUAGGAAAGCUGAACUGAAAAAUAUGCAGGAGUUUUUGCUGAAGACUUUUACUGAUCUCUUAUUUAUUAUUGUUAAUGAGGCACUCACUGGGUACCCACCGUGUGCAUACCCAUGUGCAGGACACAGCAAAGGCAACAGCAAUGUAUCUUUCUAGCUGGUGAUGUGACCUGCCAUUCUGCAUCCUUAACCUUUUGACAUCUCAGUUAACUGAGUACCUUCCUUAGUAAAACAGACACCUGAGGGACUCGCAUUCACUGUAACCACCUCUGGCCUUGCUGUAGCACACUCUAAUGCAACCCUGAGCAAAGCGCUUCAGGAAUCACAUGGAGGAUGCUAUGAUGCCCCCUUUUAACCAUGCCAGCAUCUUCUAGCAGAUAUUUCCUCAGAAUAAAAAAUCUCACUUGAGUAAAGACGAAUUAAAAUCACUAAAGACAGAAGUAUUUAAGUAAAUGGUCAUAAAUUAAUCUUGUAUUUUUACCAGGAACAGUAAUGACUGGAAUGCUGUGUAUGGUGUCUUUGUUACUCAAUCUCCAUUUCAAUAGGCACAAAAAGUGAGAAUGAAAGUUGGAGAAAAAUGAACACAAAAUUAUUCUCUCCUAGAACAUAGCUGACUUUUCCUUGUGGCUGAAUCCUUAUGUAAGGAGCAAAGAUGAUUUUUUUAACUUUCUGUGAAGUAUAUUUGCAUUUGAAGCUGUUUUCAAGACAAAAUAAAUAAGAACGGUUUAAAUAAUAGCAGUUAAACACACAAAAUGGCACUGAUAUUCUUUAGUAUAUGAUUCUAAUUCAUAAAGGAAACUGAUGAAUUCACAGAUUUUGUUGAAAUUUAACAUGUGUUUAAAUACUAUCAGCACUGUGUACUUCCAGAUAAUUACAUGAGUCAUUCUGAUACCAGCAACUGAAAUCACUAAUGACAAUCACAAUAUACCAUCUACCAGACAUUGUAGGAGAGAUGUGUGUUCCUUAAGAAUCAAGGAAAAGGUACAGGUGUUGCUUUUUCAACAGGAUAUUGGAUAUACAAUAGUUUCCAGUUAAAUCAUAGUCUCAGUGAUUUGUCUUUCUGUAGCAUUUCUUAAAAAAAAAAGGUAUAAAUGAAAGGUUUUACUGGCACAGAAGAGAUAAUAAAAAUGCAUACUGAUUUAAAACUUCAAAGGUACAGGUGAAAUCAAUUCACCUCAGGAACGGCAAGAUCUGCAAGAGCAGCUUUGAUUACUGUUUUGAGAGGUAGUAAUAAUUGCAAGAUUUGGCUAACUGUAAAGAGAUAAAAUAACUCCAUAAUGAGUUUACCAUUAUUAAAUACUCAUUGAAGAAGUAAACAAAUUUUUCUCUUUAAGAACAAGUUUAAAUUGUAUACACUAGAUAUCACAGUAUUUGGAACUCUUAAAUGACAAACGGAGGAUUAAACGUAUCCAUAAAACAUUGUUUUUAUUAAUUCAGAUGCACUUAAUGCAUCUUGGUCCUCUGAUUUCAUUUGAAGGAACUGAAUAGCAGAAAUAUCACAUAGUCUGGGGGAGUCUACAGUAAUGUACAGACCUUCAGAACAAACUAUUCAACACAACUUUUACAAAGAAUAUGAGCAAGAAUAUAUUUGCUUUGCAGCCCUAUAUCUGAGUAAGCUACAAUACCUCGUCUACUAGCUACCCACAUUUUCCUAUUUCAAUAGAAAAGGAAAGGUCUGAUAUUAUUGCAAGGUCAUGAUUGUGAGGAACCUUUUUGUUUGUUUUAGUUUUAACUACUGUAAAAAAAUGUGACUGAACCAGUAGGUAAAAAAUGUAAUUGAAUGAUCAGACCUGAAGCUUCCACAAAGUAUAUUCAUUAUUAAAAUUGCUGCUUAUUGCAACAGAUGGGGAACUGAUGCUGAAACCCUUCACAGCCUUUGAACCUCAGGAAUUCUGAAACUUUUGAACAGACAUAGCUCCAUUCUCUACCUUGUUUGUUGCAAGGUGAAUGUUAGAAUCCUAAACAAAGUGUCUUUGGUAUUUUGUGUACACAAAAUUAUAUACCGCUCUUGAUUGUGUGCUUUCAGAGGCCCCUGAGAAGGUGGUUAAUCUUUAUUAAAGCUCUUGAGCAUUAGUGGCUAAUGGAGGCUGGUGAGUAUUGCAGAGUAGUUAUUAACCUCAUUGGGAUCCAGUAACAAGAUUUUCACAGUAUCUGCUUCUUAUAGGGAGUUCUUCUCUAAGAAAGUACAUUAUUAAUAGGCAAAACUCUACAAAGGGCCAUAGUAUUUGAAGGCAGGAGAGUGUGUUGGCAUCAUCCAGUCCUUAUGACAGACAGGGAGAAUUCCAAAACCAUAUGCUUUCAGCUGCAAAAUGCCUACUUCUGUGUAAAAGUGCCUCAUAAAAUUAAAAUUAUCUUCCUGCAGAACUCAAAGUCAUUUGCAAGUCUGCUACUUUUAAACAAGCUCAGAAGUAAGAUUAAUGGAGUAAUGACAUUAACUCUGCUCCAAAGCAGCUCUAUAUUCUGGCUCUUCCAGCAGGUUCUGAAUUUCCAUGACUCCUAUGCAAACAUAUAUUCACAGGAUUCAAAUCAAAACUGUUUAUCAUCUUCUUCAUAGUAAACACUAGUUCUCUCUUGCAGCAUUGUUCUUUUUGUGACAUCUGGAGAUUAGAAAAAGUCAAACAUCAUUUAAAAAAGAACAACUAAAUGCUUAGCUUCACUCUUUUUUCACUGUUUCUUCAAUUACUUCAUGUCACUUACCCUAAUGAAUUAAAACAUAUACUAAAAAAUAUCUCAGAAAAAUGAUAUUUUCAUGUUGUGUCACAAGAUUUUUGCUAUUAACCUUGUUCUAAUUACCAAAAUUACACAUUGCAGACAGAGAUGCUCCACAAUGUCCAGAGAUGAUUCUAAAGAGAGGCACAACUCCCUUGUACAGUGCACUCAUGUGAUCUAUUAUCAUUCCUUUGGUAAUAAAGAAUCAGUGGUAAAUCAAUUAAAAGUGCUAAAGUUAUUGGCAGACUAAAAAAAUAAAUACUGACAAAUGUGGUCAAUUGAGAACCUCUUUUUUAGUAUCAAAGCAAGAGACAUAGUUUAAGGGAGGUCUAACCAAGGGUUGAAAACUGCUACAGAAAUAGCCAAGGGCAAAGUCAUUCCAUCAGUGCAGCCCACAGGGAUGUUAAUUCUCACUCUUUUAAGAAACCAGUAAGGGAUAUACCAAAAAUGUGCUGCAAUGUUUAACAGAGUAAUGAACAAUGUAAAUGCAGACUUCUGAAAUGUAACAUGUUUACAUUUCCUAUAUAUAUAUAUAUAUGUCACUUGCUGUAUUUUUCAUUGCAGGGAUGGUAGAAUAUCAGUAACAUAGAUAAUUUUAUUUUUUUAUACUGGGUUUGCAUGAGAAGCUCACAAUACCUGAAAAAAAAGCUAUGAAAAAAUAUAAUUCAAGCUGUAUUAUCCAGGACUCUAUGUAGCUUUCCAAAGUGGUCUAAACAGGGCAAUACAGACCCAGAGAUGGAUUGUUAUUUCUUUUCUCUGACUGACACAAAUAGCUUGCAGUGGGAAGGAAAUUGUAUUGUGAAUCACACACCAUCAAAUGACUGUGGCAUACAAUGGGCUCCAUAUAUCACCACCAAUAUUUAAAACAAACAGAUUUCAUAAUAUUAUCAGCCCAUCAGGAAGUGAUUCACCCUCAGAAAGUUUUAAUUUUCAUUUUGAAAACCCUGCCAAAAGGGCUUUGUCUUUCUCUUCCAUUGCAGCAGACUCAGCUGCCUGCAAUGUAUUACACAACGGUUUCACUUAAAGCCAACAACGGAGCUUUGUUAUCAGAGCUAUAUUCAGAAACACUACUUCAGCCUAAAAUUGAGUGAAAAUCUAUUUUCACCUGUUAUACUGAGUGCAUUUGCUCCUUCACUGGGGUAAGACUAUCAGAGGCACAUACAGCUUAAACAUAAUAUUGAUUUUUAGAAAUUAAAGCCAGUUUCACAUAGCUCAGGGCUUCAAUGAGUCAUAAAACUCCAUCAACAGUUAGUUCAGACUUUUUUUGUUCCAGGAAGAUAUGGAUGAGUUCAUGUGAACUGACAGAUGGAAAUUUAUUCAGUGUGAGAACUUCUAAAAGAAUUUUUGAAGUACAACUUAGCAGAGAGAGGUUGAUUUUAACUAACCUACAACCAGCUGAGUACAGAGACCAAUUUGUAGAGAAAUGAGGUCAUUGCAUUAGGGAAGUCUGAGACUCAACCUGCAGAUGUUCAUACUGAAUGCUUAACUGAACCUCUGGAGCUGUGCUUUAACCAUGAAUUUUUGGGGUUUUUUUCUUAUGACAUAACCAUCUCAUAGUAAUACAGAAAAUGCUCAGAUCGCAAUCUCCAGUUCAAUAAUUUUUUAUCUUUCUUGUUUCAGGAUAUCUAAAGAUGCUAAGGUGAAAACCUCAUUUUAAAAUGAAAGGGGAAAAAAUCAGCUUACAGAAAUAAAACCAUACAUUUCUUAAGAAAAAGUAUCUUGAAUUUGUUCACAGUGUUUCUGUCAUGACCCAAUGCUUUCCUUUAGCAGAUAUUCCACUACAUACAACUAUCUAAAAAAAGCCAUUCAAUUUUCUCAAAAAAAGUAUAUAUCAGAUCACGCUCAAACUCAGAUGUGUUCAGAUUUGGAAGAUGUCUGUUCCCUAAUAUAUCAGUAAGUAGAAGCUAUAAAUACUACCACCAAAAUAUUUAUUACUCAGACAGAGGCCACUGAGUCUCAGUGUCCCACUCUAUAUCAAGAAAUUAUCAGGUAUUCUGAAAACAGUGAAAUGCACAAAGCUAUCCAGCAAAGAGCAAAGAAGAACCCCUAAAUAUUUUUUUUUCUAUAAUUCUUUGUAGCUGUUUGCCUCCUGUCCAAGUUGUGAGCAGCCAUGAGUUCCUCCAGGAGAAUGUUCUGGGAAAUGGUGUUAAAAGCUUGACUAAAGUCUAGGUAGGCAACAUCCAUGGCCUUUCCCUCAUCCACUAAGCAGGUCACCUUGUCAAAGAAGGAGAUCAAGUAAGUAAAGAAGGAUCUGUCUUUCAUGAACUCACGCUGGCUGUCCCUGAUCCCCUGGUUAUCCUGUCCACCCCACGUGAUGGCACUCAGAAUGAUUUAUUCAUGAUGGCACUCAGCACCAAGGUCAGGCUGACAGCCUGUAGUUCUUUGGGAUUCUUCCAACCCACCUUAUGGAUGGAUGUCACACUGCCUAACCUCCAAUCACUCGGAACUCCCUAGUUAACCAGGAUUGCUUUUCAGUGAUGGAAAGUGGCCCAGAACUUCCUGUCAGCUUCCUCAGUACCUUUAGGUGGAUGCAGCCCCACAGACUUCUGUGUGCUUAGGUGGUGUAGCAGGUCACUGACCAUUUUCACUUGGAUCAUGGGGGCUUCCUUCUUCUCCCCAUCCCUGUCUUCCAGCUCAGAGGCCUGGUAUCCAGCUCUUACUAUUAAAGACGGAGGCAAAGAAGGCAGUAAGUAAUCCCAGUCUUUUUCCCAUCCUUUGUUACUGUGUUUCCCCCCAAAUUCAAUCAGAGAUACUCUUUAGUAAUCCUUCUGUUGCUGAUGUAUUUAUUAUUUAUUAAUAAGACAUUAUUUAUUGUCUUUUACAGCUGUGGCCAGAUUAAGUUCUAGUUGGGCUUUGACCGUUCUAUUUUUCUUCCCACAUAACCUCAUGAAACUUUGUAGUCCUCAUGAUUUUCCUGCCUCUUCUCCCAAAGGUCACAAACUCUCUUUUUGUCCCUGAGUUUCAUCCAAAGCACUCUGUUCAGCAUGAUUUCUGCCCAACCCUCACUUUUAAUUCUUCUACCUUUCAAAUAGAGACCAUCCACAAGACCUUAAAAAUUAAAAACAAGACUCUGUGGAAGGUGCUCCAUGUGUGUGAAAACAUCUAGAAGUCCCCUAGGUCAUUUCUGCAAAGCACAUUGGGUACAAGAGUGAGGAGACAGGGAGAAAAAGACUUAUGAUACACUCCAUAAAACACGGCAACAGCUUUGUCCUAGGGGAGCACUGCAAGCAGCAAGAAGUUUGGUCAAUCUGGUAAUCAUGCUGGAAUGACUGCUCCUGGACAGCUGUGUCGUAUAAUGGACAUUGGGCUAAGGUUUUCCCAGCUAACACUCAGGACAGAAAUAGCAGCAUUCACUGUGACAACACGUAGCUCCUAGCCUACUUGGUAAGGCAGAAAAAAUAAGUGUUUGGGAGUGGAAUAAGUUCUGUGACAAGACAAACAGGAGAUUUGUCAUCCGCUCAGUCCAGAGUCUGUUCAAGCAUUUGGCUUUCCUUCCUUUCCUCCAGGAGGUAAGGCAAACCAGUCCCCACAGACACCAGAUUUGGCUCCCACAGACCAGGAAGCAGAAAUCCCUCAGAUCAUGAAGCUGAUUUGACUCAGUCAACUCAAGGAUCUCCCCCAUACAAAAAGGAUGAAUGUACUCCUCCCUCACCAGCACAUCAAGUAUUUCCAGAACCCAGAUCCUAACUGAAAAACAUCAAGUCAUUCCAGUCUGUUCUUACCAUACCAUGAGCAUCUGGUAUAUUUUCUUCCUUUCUUCUUCCAUAAUUGUUAUCUCUGCAAUAAAGAUAACAAUCUUUAUUACAGAGAUGGACUGAGCUGAGAUUAGGAAUUGUAUUGGGUUUGUGUGUCCUGGUUUUGGCACCAAGGGGGUUACAGGGGCGGCUUCUGUGAGAAGAUGCCAGAGGUUUCAUUCAUGUGCAGCAGAGUCAAUCUCAGUCUGUUCCAAGAAGGAAACACCACUGACCAAGGCUGGGUCAAUCAGAAACAGUGAUAACACCUCUGUGAUGACAUAUCUAAGAAGAAAGAAGAAAGUUAUUGUGUAGAUAUAAUUGUGGCCUGGGAAGAACAGACUGAGUACAUGUGAGAGGAGCAGCUCUGAAGAUACCAAGGCCAAAUGCAGAAGGAGAGGGAGGAGGUGCUCCAGGUGUCAGAGCUGAGAUUCCCUGCAGCCCAUAGUGAGGCAGCUGUGCCCCUGUAGCCAUGGAGGGCCACAGGGGUGCAGAGAUCCACCUGCAGCCUGGGGAGGAGCCCCACACUAGAGCAGGUGGAUGCCUGAAAGGAGGUUGUGACUCUGUGGGAUGCCCAUGCUGGAGCAGGUUUCCCAUCAGGGCUUGUGACCCCAUGGGGUGCCCAGAUUGGAGCAGCGUGUCCUUGAAGGACUGCACCCCAUGGAAGAGUCACCCACUCUACAGCUGUUUGCAGGGAAUUGUCUCUUGUGGGAUGGACUCAAAUUGGAGAAGUUCAUGAAGAUUGUCUUCCAUGAGAAGCACCCCACAAAGGAGCAGAGGAAAGACUCCUCUCCCUGAGCAGCAGCAGAAACAAUCUGUGACAAACUAGGGUUGUAACCCCCUAUUCCCUGUCUCCCUGCACCUCUGGGAGAGGAGAUAGAGCUGGGAAGGAGGGAGGGUGAUGGGAAGACUUUUUUUAGAUCUGUUUUUGCUUCUUAUUAUCUGGCUCUGAUUUUGUUAGUAAUGCAUUCAAUUAAUAUAUCUGAUUCUAGUCUGUUUUGCCCCUGACAGUAUUUAAUGAGUGAUCUCUCUCUUACCUUAUCCCAGCACAUGGACCCUCCAUUAUAUUUUCUCUUCUCAGUCCUGGCAUACGGCAAGGACAACCCACUAGAGGAAUAUCAUCAUACCAUAACACAUGCCACUAAUCCACUGAUACAGUUUUGUGCCCAGAUUCUAUACAUAUUAUGUUCGAACUUUUCCGGUUUUCAAAUCUGCAGUAAAACCAGUAGAAGCCAGUCUACUGCAUCAGGACAAGUUCCUUUAACAUGGUAUUGAUCAAACUUGCACUAUUUUCAACCAGUAAAAUGUUAUCACAUUGAACCUUGAACCAAUCUUGAUUUUCCAUAACUGAACAAAACAAAACUUGACGAAUCAUUGGUGCUGAAUUCCAGUAAAGAAAAGGUAAUCAGUAGAGAUCACUGAGAUUUUCAGGAACUUGUCUUUCAUCUGAAAUUGUGAGCUGGGAAGCAGAAAAAGGAUACUGCUGGAGACAAUGCAAUGGAAACUGUGAGCCCUCAUUGCUCAAGCCAAGCAUUGAAAGCUGAUGCUAUGAAUUUAUGAAGAUAAAAUGCAACCAGAAAAAUCCUCAGUAUACUCUUCCUGAUCCCAUAAAACUUGGCCCAUUGCACCACAAGAUCUAAUCUGAUAUGGUUGACAGCACUAUUUGUCCUUCAUAACAUUAAAGAAAAUAAAUCCUCAAAGAAAAAAAUAAAGCUCACAUAAAAGCAUGGUUUAAAUUUUGGGUUACUUCUCAAACACCUUUUGCUCACCCUUACUCAUCUUAGCCUGAUCAAAUGGAAAACAAAUCUCCACAGAAAUAACAGAGAUGUCUCUCUGGGCUCUCAGAUUCUUUGGAGGGGUGAAGAGGGCACUCAAAACUUUAAAGUGUUGUUUUCUGGUUCUCUUUUACCUCCUUCUCAAUAUGAAAAAGAAAUUUAAAAGAGCAUAGAAAAGGGGGUGAAGUCCUUCAAACUUGGAUGAUAAAAACUUCUGACUUUCUUAGCGAAAUGAAGAAGUUAAAAGAAUGUUCAAGACUAUUAGUGGUAGCAAACACAGGAAAAUUCAAACACAGUGGUUUCUAAAAUGGCUUAAAUAAAAACUUGCAAGUAUGUCCAGGUUUUAUAUUCAGACCUCAGAUAGGAUUCUGAGGACAUGAGAGGGGGAAUAAAUGUAAUAAGAGGGAUCAAAGGUCUUCUGCCAUAAUUUGUCCAGGAGAUAAACAAGGAUGAAAUGGAUGAAAGGAUGAAUGGUGCAUGAGGUGUGCUGUUUGGUAGUCAUAUACAUCUACAGCUGUGAAAAUGUAGGAGAUUGAGGAAGGGAUGGGGCAUUUUUCACAUGGAGUGAAUGAAAAUAGCAAAAGAAAAUGGAGAAUCUCUCAGUUGGGAGAAAUACUAGACUGUACAUUGACAAAAACCCAAUAAAGCAACUUGAAAACUAAUUGCUAGAAUAUAAGGGGCUGAGAGGACAACAGUCAGAAUUUCAAGUACCAAACAAAAAGUCAGAACCUAGACACCUGAAGGAAUAAAAAACUACUUUUGUUUUUUCUAAAGUCACCACAGCCUACACACGUGCACAGACACCUUUGCAGGAACCCACCACUGCUAGAAUAAAGCACAGUUGCAGCAGAGAGACACCUUGUUGGGUACACAGCCAGACUGAUCCUUUUCCAGGCACCACAAGUCAGAGAGGACAAAAAACAAGAUUUCUUUUUAUCCCAUGAUCCUAAUGGCUAUUUUUGUUAUUGUUCUUCAGCAACAAUGACAAAAAUAGUGGAAAACUGUACUGAACAGCAAACUAAAGCAUGCCUACAGCAAGAAGCAGCUUUUUAAACUUCCAUCUCACUAGUGCUUGUCUAUACAAAUAAUGUCACCAUGUCACUUCUUUUCCUGCAUUCUGUUACAGAAUAUUCUUCCCCCAGUUUUGUUAUUCUAUUCUAUUUCAACUUGAUGAAUUAUCUAUAUUAUAUUUUUUGAGAAAUAUUCCCUCUAGAGAUGCACAUACUUAGUUUAGAAAGUUUUCAGCAGGAUGAAAAGGGGAAGAAAAAUAGAAAUUCCCACAUCUCUACUUUUUUUAAGCUACUCCUGGGACUAGGACAUAAUUAUCUACAUUCUGCAAUUACCAGUCAACCCUUAGCUGAAGGAUGAAAAUCAGCGAUACUAAGAAGUGAUGUUUGGGCAAGUCUAGGCAGAAGGUAAAAGGAGUCUAUUAGCAAAGAGCAAGAAUGGGAAGCUGAAAUCACAAGGUGGGGGACAAGUUAAAUAGUUUCUUUGGCAGUGAGUUUGUUUUUCUACUCCUUUCUCUAUGGCUCCAAAACCACUUAUGCAUUCAGCCGAAGAUAAUAGGCUCAACAACCUUCUCUUUGUAAGUGGCACAAAAUAAGAAAAUAGCUAUCCUCAUAACAACAUUUAGCAGGAGAGUAGGUGGGUAUGCUCUGAAUUGUGUAGUAAAACAGAUUUCAUGUCUGAUAGACACCAAUUCAAGGUUAAAAUAUGUGAUUCUAUGGAUAUAGUUUUAACUUUUUCCUCAUCUCCAACAUGAGAAACAAAAUGAAAUAAAGUAUAGUAAGUCACCUUCCCUUUUUGGGUAUAGUUAUGAAAGGAUUUUAUUAUAUUACUUCAUUCCAACAGACUUUAACAAGCAUUGCUAAUAAGAGAUCUUCUCCCUUCUGCAAUGCUAAGAACCCCACAGGCCAAGCAUGCAUUGUUUGGCUUGGCUGCUUGGCUGCUUCCAAGCAGUCUAUACUUCCACAUGAGUAUAUAACCUCAUUCCUGUGGUGUCAGCCUGGAAUAGAAAUUCAAUGCUGAACAUGAAAUCUGUUCAGCUGGGUUGAUGCAGAUAUGGUUUUAUGCUCAGAGAUCUGUUUUGUCACCGUUGUAAUUUUGGACAAGGAGACCUCUAGACUUUUUUUUUUUUUUUUUUUUAAAUUAAAACCAAAACAACAGCAAAAAAAAAGUAUUUUGGGAACAUAAGUUCUAUCAGCUGAGUUAGGUUUCAAAUAAGCUUGUAAUUAAUAAUAUCUGUUCUGCUACUGUGAAAAUCUUUAUCGUCUUAAACAGCCCAUGAGGAACUGUAAGCCAGCAAUGCCAUGUAGGAAAAUAGUGGUAUAAAACCUUGUACUUACCCUUUCUUCAUAUUUGGUUGCUUUAUUUCUGUUGACUACUAAUUGGUUUUUAAGAAUUUUAAAUACUUAAAAUUCAAGAAUGCUUAUUUGUUUAGAAUUAGGAAAUAUCUUCCUGUGCAUUCAGUUAGAAUGUAAAGCAUUUUGCAAAAAUCUUCACAAUUAAGCAUAUACCACAAAAACUUUACGUGCUUAGUGCUGUUUUCUUUCUUUCCUUUUUGGAGAUAUGGCUCGUUGCUGUUUUGUUAUGUAGAGGAAAUGAUCCACCUAGAGAGCCUGGUAAGUUUUCCAUUGUUAAGCAAGUGUCCAAGGCUUAAAUUGCACACUGCAACAACAGGUCUUAUUGAAGACACAUUAUGGCAAGUUCUAGACUUAUAGUCCAGCUAUAAUUUUGUCACAUCACUUGUUUUAGGACAUUUCCCUCAUAGAGAAAUUUCAUGGUUUUGGUUCACCAUGGAUUUGGGACUUAUGGGUGUAGUUAUGAAGUGGUUACAUGUUCUUGUUUCCCAGUUGCUGCUUGGCUACAAUAAAAAGAAGAAAGACACCACUUCUCUAGUGAUUUUUCCUUUUAAAAAAAAGGAGAGAGUAGGGAGGUUCACUAUUGCCUCAUACCUAGGGCAUGUAUAUUGCUUCUUUCAACUUGUAGGUACAGGUCAUUUGUAUGAUAUUACAAUGGAGGCAAAGAGGUUGACAGUGGGGGAAAACACUUUCUCUUCAGGAGGUAUGUCUUCAAUUUUCAUUGCCCAGCGCAUGCAAAGACAGUUAAACAAAAAGAGAAAGCAGUUAGCCAAAUUUUAAAAAGCAUGUUUAUGCUAAGUAUUACAUCUGUUUCCUGAGCAUGUAAUACUCACUAGUUUCUUUGCAUGGAGGGGAGGAGGUUAUACAUUUUGGAAAAGGUUCAUACAUCAGCAUCAGAAUCCAUUAUCACAUUUACACGAGUUUUCACAUAUAUUCUCUUGGGAUGAAAAAUUAUUACACUAUUUAAUGUGCUUAGCCUUUGUUGCUUUAAAAGAUUAUCAUAUUUUUAGCUGACAGUUUCAUUACAUAUAAUCUUGACACUUCUCAUCUAAGUUUCACAGAGGGGAAAAAGAAAGUCUGAAGGUGUCUUGCAAAUAGUUUUGUUUCUUUUUUUUCCAGCUGGAUGUCUUGUUACAGAUAAGAAAUCAAAUUUUGUUUUACCCAUGAUUGGAAUGAGUCUGUUCUUAGGCUCUUCAGGCUACUCACUUCUGUACUGACAGUCUUUACAUUUACACCAUUCCCCUCAAAAUGAAAGACAUUAAGUCUUGCAACCACUUGGAAAGAAUCAUGAAACAUCACUAUACACAGAGUCAUUAUUUUAAUUACAAGAAGCCAAAAGGAAAAACAGUGAUGGUGGACUAGCCUAGAGGUAGAGCAUUUGCCUAGAUUGUCAGGUACUCAAAUGAAUUGGCAGCUGUAGGCUUUCUCAAGGAGGCUGUCUCUUCUCUAAGGCCACCUUUACUCACCUGGAUAGGGGUAGUAGGGGAAAUCAGACUGGAACUUUAAAGACUCAGAGUAAAGGAGGAGGAUCCAGUCCAUUCUUAGGGGAGGCUCCACACCUUUAAAAUUCAUACUUUCCUUGUACCUUGAAACAGCCUGGUUCUGAUGGCCUCCAGAUCAUAUUGCAUAGCACUAUUUUUUUCAGAACUUGGUACAUCGUAGAAUGGGUGAGAUGAAAAAUGGUCAAAUGAAUUAUUUUUCAGCAGGAGUGACUUUCAGUUCUGCACUUAUGAAAAAUUCUAUAUGAUGUCAAAAGAUCUGGGUUAAAAUGAGUGUUUACUGUUUCAAAAAUCUAAGCAAAUACAUAAAUUUAGACAAUAUAAUGAACUGCAGCUUUCAAAAUAAUUGUACAAUGUUAAAGUUACAUAUAUAUUUUGAGUAAUGACCAUCUCACUAAAAUCUGAACAAUGGUCAGGUAAUGACUGUUCCACAAGGCUGCAUUGAAAGAGCAGAAAUUUAAAAAAAAAAAAUUGUAUUUACAGAUUCUUAAAAUGUAUUUUUUAAGUGUAAUCAUCUUAGCAACACAUUUCACAAACAAGAAGACACAAACAUAAAUUGCUUUACAUACAGGGCACUUUUCUGUAGUCUGAUUUCUCAACUGUUUUUUGGCCAAAAGAAGCUACAGGCACUAACUUUAUGAAUUUCAUGAGAACCAUUAAAAGGUACUUCCAGUUAAUAAAGGUGCUAGAUCAGGAUAAUUUAGAAUCUUUCUAUCUUCUAGAGGUCUCUGAAUGAUGUUCAAGAAUGUAGUACAAUUUUAAAGAAGCUAAGGUAUUACUGUCUUGCAUAACCAAAUCUGUCCCUCCCGACCCUAUAUUCAGCAGCAACAUCUGUUCUCUUUUGACCUGUGAUAAGGUAAUAAUAUCAGGGUGGCCUGUGCUGGGUGAAAUGAUCCCAGUUUUGUAGAAAAGUAAUUUUUCUCAAGAAACAAUGCUGCAUACUUAAAAUACACAGAGUAUAUAAACCAAAGUUAAUUGGGCACAUAAUGACUCUUGAGUCAUAAGGUUAAGUAUUGAAAAACAAGUAGAUAAAGAAAUCCCAUACACCACCACCAUGUUGUAACUGAGGUAAUACACUGCUCAGCUUUCCUUCAGAGAGAAAUAAGUUUUAGGGAGUGAAGCAAAGCAAAUCAUGCAAUACCUUAACUGAAACAGUAGUCAUUGUAUUAAUUUGAAAGAAAUACUAUAUCAGGUAAGUCCUUCUAAUCUUGUAAGAAUCUAUUUUAGGACUAUUUUACAACUAGAGACUGCAGAGGCUACUUCUGUCUGUAGCUAUAUUUCAAGAACUAGAUAUUCUGAAUGCUGGGUCACAGUUUAGUGCUGGUAAGUCUGGGCCUCACAGUUUCGCAGGGGUUUUGCCUGUCAAUUGAUGUUUACCUGCAAUAUUUAAAUCUUUAUACACUACCCAAACAGUCAAACAAGUCCUGUCUAUUCUAUUAGAUUUAUUUAUUUUUCCAAGAUGCUUGCAUUUUACCUUUCUUCUGCGUUAGCCAUUAUUUUGAUUUGAAACUGAAAGCUAUUCUUUAAAUACAGAAAAAUUCUGCUGCUUCCUAGUAAUAUAAAUUUAGAUUGCCAUUCAUUUUAUUUAGGAAGUAUUGCUGGUAUGCAUUUUUUAAACAUUCAGAAAUCUAAAACCUCUUAUCAGAGAUUAAGACAAAUGAUCACAGAUAUCUCAUUUUGCCUAUCUUUCAUCUAGGAAUGAAUGCUCUUGCUCAGUUUGAAACAGAAAACUAUGCUACUAAUGAAUUUUCUUGUCAAAUAAAACAAUACAAUAAUUGUCAUAAAUUCAACUACUAGAAUAAUGAACAUUCCUUCAUAACAAUCAAACCCAAGAAUUUUGUAGGAGGGAGACAAAAGAAUUGCUGGAAUCAUUCCAGGAUUAAAAUUAUUUUAUUACACACAUGCAAAUGAUGGUUAUGAAAAGCUCACUAACCCUGAAAAUUUAAGCAAGAAUCCUUUCUAGACCCCUAAGAUAGAUUUUUGAGGGCUAUAGACUGUUAAAUACUUUAGUAAUAAAUGACUGCUUGUAUCUGUCACCUUCCCUUCUCUGCAGAGUAUAUUUAUGCAACUUGACACAGGGUGAUGUAUGUAUUAUAUUCUAGAAAUGUGGGUAUGUGUUCUACUGCCUAAAUGUGAAAAAAAAUCCAAACAGCCCUUGCCUUGCAGAUGUAAGCAGACAUUUCACAUGACAUGGCAGGAGAUGCUGUCUUUGCUGCAAAGUACAGAAAAUAAAA